AAACCAACAGGGAUUGCCUCAGUAACGGCGAGUGAAGCGGCAACAGCUCAAAUUUGAAACCUGCCAACCGGCCGGAUUGUAAUUUGCAGAGGAUGCUUUGGGAAAGGUACUGAUCUAAGUUUCUUGGAACAGAACGUCACAGAGGGUGAGAAUCCCGUCCGUGGUCGGCCGCCUGCCCCGUGUAAAGCUCCUUCGACGAGUCGAGUUGUUUGGGAAUGCAGCUCUAAAUGGGUGGUAAAUUUCAUCUAAAGCUAAAUAUUGGCCAGAGACCGAUAGCGCACAAGUAGAGUGAUCGAAAGAUGAAAAGCACUUUGGAAAGAGAGUUAAACAGCACGUGAAAUUGUUGAAAGGGAAGCGCUUGCAAUCAGACUUGGGCGCGGGUACUCAGGGACGGUUCGCCGUUCUGUAUUUGCCCGCGCACAGGCCAGCAUCAGUUUUGGGGGUGGGAUAAAGGCCGUAGGAAUGUGGCUCUUCGGAGUGUUAUAGCCUACGGUGCCAUGCCACCUCCCGGGACUGAGGACCGCGCUUCGGCUAGGAUGCUGGCGUAAUGAUUGUAAGCGAC
Molecule: ribosomal RNA, 562 nt
Filed under: Chaetomella raphigera
Lineage: Eukaryota; Fungi; Ascomycota; Leotiomycetes; Chaetomellales; Chaetomellaceae
Description: LSU rRNA
Rfam family: Eukaryotic large subunit ribosomal RNA
Source: RNAcentral